This 328-nucleotide long non-coding RNA is filed under the name Mytilus galloprovincialis (Mediterranean mussel). The record is from RNAcentral. Lineage: Eukaryota; Metazoa; Mollusca; Bivalvia; Mytilida; Mytilidae.
AUUUAACUUGUGUAUCUUUUUUUUGUUUUAUAUUUAAAAAUAUUUUUUAGAUUAUAUUUGACAAAUUAUAACUAGUUGUGCCUAGUAUAUGAUAAUUUAUGACUUGAUAAUGUAUUUUAUAUGAAGCAUUCAGAUGCCUUUCUGCUACAAUUAUGUUUUGUAUUAUCGAUUUAUUCCAACUAUUUACUCUAAGCUGAUUAAUUUUAAGUGUAACAAAACUCUUGUGAAUUCUAAUUUAUUCCUACCAUGUUAUGUUUGUCCACUUCCAAGCAGACUGUGAUGUUUUUUGUCUUUACAUAGCUAUUUUUAUAAUAAAUAAUGCUGCAUU